Molecule: long non-coding RNA, 4080 nt
Organism: Rhododendron vialii
Lineage: Eukaryota; Viridiplantae; Streptophyta; Magnoliopsida; Ericales; Ericaceae
Exons: 3
Source: RefSeq, a predicted model, not a curated record
UUGCUAGUCAUAAGCAAUCAGACCACUAAACAAAUCAUCUAUUUUUGGUAUGACAAUCAGCUCCAUAAAUUCAGCCUUGACAUCAUGCCUAAAGGUUGUGCUGAACCAACAUGGUCUUUAACGUAAUGUGAUUACUUUGGCCCUUGUAUGUGGGCUCUAAAAUUCAUAUAAGCACUUGCCUUUUCCUGCUAAUAGUUAGGUAGUUUCUGUUGUCUGGCACUUACAAUGAAUGAUAAAAUGAAGAGAAGAUGGUAAUUUUGUAAUCAUCAACUAGUUAAUGUUUUACCAGCUAAAGGUGGGUUUCUUUGUUUGCUUGUUUAAUUUCAUGGGAGAAGUGAAAAUUCUAGAUAAUGUGCCAUUCAUCAGUUUCUCACAAAUACACUCAUAAGUCAUAAUCAAUUGUAUGUGCCUAUGUAGACACACAUGCAAGAAAUAUGUCUUCCCAUGUCUUCUGGACAUUUAGAGCUAGUGAGGUGUUUAAGAGUAUUCGUGGAAUUUGCCUGCUUGGGGUUCUCCUUCCACUUUAACUUCAACUAUUGCUACUUCCUCGACCCGACCCCGAGAUCUUGAAUUCUUAACAGAUAGAGACUGCCCCCACUUCCCUUAAUUAGCUUGUUGAGGAACGUGCUUGACUAUAUAGGGCAGCCCAAGUUUCGGUAUUGGAGCAAGCACAUGGCAUGGAAAGCAUGACUACUUGUAGCUACAUGGUAGUGAAACCUAUGUUGGGAAAUUUAUUAGUGAUCUAGAAACCUCUUAAUAGUAUGGUGUGUGCAGUCUCUUGUGGAUUGCUACCUCUUGAUGGAGACAAAUUACAAUGAUAUAAGUUUGAGAGUUUCUCACAAAUAGACUCCUACUCAGUUCGUAUGAACAUUUAGACACGCAUGCAAGAAACAUGUUUUACCUUGACAGUGUUUUAAAAACACCGUUUCGUAACUGAUUUUCGAGAGUCUGACAUGAAUAUGGACCGAAAAAUGGAGAUUUGAAAUUCACGUGAGUAUCGGGCUAUACGGCCAUUACGUAUCGCGUGUAGGUCCGUAACUCGUAACAACUAGUACACCCCGUUAUGACACUGACAAAGCACUAAGAAAAACACUUUUUCUCCUCUUUUUUGUUCUUUUCCUAGAACUACAUGUGAUACUACAGUGCGUGAGAUUCUUCUGGCCAAAAGACAGAUUCUAGGAUCAACCCCCUAUUAUUUCAACUAGCUCAGAGAAGAAAGAGAAAAAACUACAUCUACGUUAUUGCCUUCACCAAAAGACCUCUGAUUUACAUAAAUGGCAUCGAUUCGGAGGCUAUAUGUGUGCAAUUUCUAUUAUAAUGGGGAGAAAUAGCUUUGAUUUCAACUUCUUCUUCGGCUUUGGCUUCGAUUAGGUGAAAAUCCUCAAUAUAUUGUUUCUCUUUGAUUUCUGCUUUGAUUUGCAUGUCUAGGCUGCGAUUUAGGUUUUUAUUGAUGGAUUAGGGGUUGAUUUGGAGAUUUGAUUGAAGGUUUUGGCUCUGGGUUGGUGGUUGUAUUCGACGAAGGGUGGGUUUCUUUUGUUUUCUCCCUUCUGUUGACAAUUGACAAUCGAGUAAUGGGGGUGUGGUACUGGGUGUAGGUAUUUUGGUAAUGAAUGGGAUUUUAUACGGUAUAUGUUGUGAACUAAAUAGUUUUGUACCCAUUAGAUUUGAUAUUUUUUCCUAGAAAUUGAUUUUGGAAGCUAUGUUUAAGAGUUCUUUUUAAAAAAAUUCGAAAGGAAAAAAAAGGUUUUGUAACUUUAGUUCAAGAAGUAAAGACCUAAUAAUUAUAGUAGGAAAAUGCUAAAAUUAGUCUAAGGUGGAAUAUAAACAUCAUUUUUUAGAAUUUAAACUCCAUUGCCAAGAUGAAUUACUAAUAAUUUAUUAAUGUAAACUUGCGGAGUGAUUAAAAAAUACCAUGCCCCUUGAUAAAGCAUCGGCAGAAACCAAUGAUGAUUUUGGAUGGAAAUUUGCAAAUGUGGUGCCUGGUGAUAGGCAUCGUACUUAUUGUAAGUUAUGUGGAAGGAAAAUUAGUGGUGGGAUUACUAGAUUGAAACAACAUUUGGCUUAUGUGAAAGGACAAGUUAAAGCAUGUCCUAAUGUCUCACUCACAAGAAAUGAUGAAACACCUCUCAAGUACCAAGGAAAAAAAAAAGUUGAGAAACAGAAAUAGGGAUGAAGUGGUAGCAUAAAUUAGAGCUAUUCAAUGAUAGUAUGAUGAUGAAUAUGAUUAGGAAUGCGAUGAGAUUAUUGUUUCUAGUGAUUACUCGGAUCUCGAGCUGGCAAUAUCAAGAUGACAAAGCGCAAGAGAACACAGGGUAUAGGACAAUCAAAGAUUUAGAGCACAACUUGAAGGGAGGUAUGAUGUUGGUAGUAGUAGCAGAAAGGGAAGAAGUCGGGGAAAAGAUGCAUCCGGAGGAAUGGUUAGCGAAACUAGUGUUCACGAAACUAGUACCACUUUCAAGUGGAUUGAUCCAAGCUCACAAGAAGCGAUUAGUCACAAUGGAUCGAGUUUUGAAUCGAGGUAAAAGUUCCAAGUAACAACUGAUAUCUACGAGUAGGUCUUCGAGGACUAAGUUGGGUGGGAUGGUUAGCCAAUUCCUCAUCUACGGUCGACAUUCCACCAAUGCAGUUGUUAACCCUUGGUUUAGGCGAAUGUCGGAUGUUGUCAUAGAAGUGGGACAAAAUGUUGAACUCCCUAUGAGGUGCCUGAAGUCUACGUACCUAAAAGAGUUUUAGGCGAUCAAGAAAUGGAUUGAAUUCCACAAGCCUAUUUGGGAGGAGUGGGGCAUGACUAUAAUGUGUGAUGGGUGGACAGGGCCUACUAGGAAACAAUUAAUCAAUUUCCUAGUUUAUGGUUAUCGGGGAACAAUUUCCCAAAAAUCUAUAAAUGCCUUUGAUGUAGCUAGCAGGACUUCGGAAUAUUUUUUGGGUCUACUUGACAAGGUUGUCGAUGAAAUAAAAGAAAAGUAUGUGGUCAAAGUAGUGACGAAUAAAGAACCCGCUCUGAAGGUUGCAGUACAAAAGUUAUGGAGAAAAGAUCGCAUUUGUAUUCGACGGCGAGUUCAACGCAUUGCAUGGAUCUUAUUUUUAGGAUAUUGGAAAGAAAAAAGGUGUGGCAAGAGUGUUGGAUGAGGUGAAAAAAUCACAAGCUUCAUCUAUCAAUCCAAUUGGCUUGUUAAUUUAUUGAAAAAAAUUCACCAAUGGUAGAGAAUUGUUACGUCUCUUCGUCACAUGUUUUACUAAUUACUUUUAUCACGCGACGGUAGAAAGUCUUGUUAGGCAUAUGAAGGGCUUGGAAGAGAUGUUUCGUAGUAGCGAGUGGAGAAACUCCAAAUGGGACAAGAUGAAAAGUGGAAUGGACAACGAAGUGAAGAAGAUAAUAUACGAGACAUCUUUUUGGAAUAAAGCAUGUGAGAUUUCGAAGGUUCAAGAACCCCUUAUAAAAGUCCUUUGAUAGAUGAAGUUCGACAUAUGAAGGCUGAAGCUAUGGAUCGAGUCAAACUAGCUAUUGAAAAAGAAUGUGAUAUAACAAGGAAUACUGGAAGAUCGUUAACAAAAGGUGGAAUUUGUAUCAGUCAAUGUGUAACGGGAAUCGAACAUCUUUUUCAAAUGCUAUAAAAUUCAUUUAUACACAUGAUUUAACCUUAUUUAUGACAAAAUUGAAUGUUUCUAGAGAUUUCAACCAAUAUUUGACUUUUAGAAGUAGUUUGUAAGUCGUAAGAUUGGAUCAAAUGUCGCGUUUUAAGACAAUAAAGGUUGAUAUUUCAAUAGGGUGUGGAUUCUCACCAUCUAGCGAACUAGGAUUGGUAGGAUGGAUGACAAGAGUGUCUAGCCUAGCGUGAUAAAGUUAGUAGCAAAACGUGUGAUGACAGGAUGUAAAAAUCAUCUACCGUUGGGAAUUUUUUCCUUAAUUUAACAAGCCAAUUAGAUUUAUUGAUGAAGCUUGUGAUUUUUUCUCAUCAUCCAACACCCUUGCCACACAUUUUACUUUCCAAUAUCCUCUAAAACAAAAUCCACGCAAUGCGCUGAACAAGCUGUCCAAUACAAAUGUGGCCUUUUCUCCGUAAGUUUCUUCUCUGCAAG